RNAcentral lists this transfer RNA (76 nucleotides) under Gammaproteobacteria bacterium. RNAcentral describes it as "tRNA-Asn". It matches the Rfam family "tRNA". Rfam says of the family: Transfer RNA (tRNA) molecules are approximately 80 nucleotides in length. Lineage: Bacteria; Pseudomonadati; Pseudomonadota; Gammaproteobacteria. The record is from RNAcentral. RNAcentral also lists the same sequence under 6 other names.
UCCCCGGUAGCUCAGUCGGUAGAGCGUCGGACUGUUAAUCCGUUGGUCGUUGGUUCGAGUCCAACCCGGGGAGCCA